UACGUAGGGUGCUAGCGUUGUCCGGAUUUAUUGGGCGUAAAGAGCGUGUAGGCGGCCAGGUAGGUCCGUUGUGAAAACUCGAGGCUCAACCUCGAGACGUCGGCGGAAACCCUCUGGCUAGAGUCCGGAAGAGGAGAGUGGAAUUCCUGGUGUAGCGGUGAAAUGCGCAGAUAUCAGGAAGAACACCCGUGGCGAAGGCGGCUCCCUGGGACGGUACUGACGCUGAGACGCGAAAGCGUGGGGAGCAAACAGG
This 253-nucleotide ribosomal RNA is filed under the name uncultured bacterium. RNAcentral describes it as "partial 16S ribosomal RNA". It matches the Rfam family "Bacterial small subunit ribosomal RNA", at positions 524 to 776 of the family's 1533-position model. The record is from RNAcentral.